Molecule: long non-coding RNA, 1338 nt
Filed under: Linum usitatissimum (flax)
Lineage: Eukaryota; Viridiplantae; Streptophyta; Magnoliopsida; Malpighiales; Linaceae
Description: long non-coding RNA (LUSI_LNC003616)
Source: RNAcentral
CUUCAAAAAUUCAUCUAUGAUUUAAUGGCCGGAAAAUAAAUGACAACGAAAGUUGAUGAAGAUGAUAACAACAUGACGUUGGUGAAGAUUAUAAUAGGUAAAAUUUAUUUUAGAUUUAUAUAUUUUUUUAGAUUUGAUGUUAUUUUAGAUUUAAAUAUGUUUAAGAAUUCAUAUUUUAGAUUCAUAUCUAUUUUGUCUGAGAGCUAACCCAUUUUGUUCUUUUAAGAAAUUUAAUUGCUCAUAUAGUUCAGAUUAAAUUAUGCUACUCUAAGAAAAACUUUCCUGUGAAUUAUAUUUUCUUUUUCAGAAGUUAUGGGACCAAAGAAGGAAGGUAGGAAUGCUACUUAAGUCUUUGUGGCCACUAAUGAAUUGGCGCCUUGUAAUUAAUCGAAAUUAACAAUAUUAGUGUAGUAAUCAAUAAAUUAUCUAAUUAACAUAUGGGUUUAGAGAUAGCAUAGCACCCACACAUUUGUUAGGCGGUUGAUGAGGGCGGUUAAUUAAGAAUAGUUUUGGCGGUUGGAAGGUUCUAAUUCAUAAGCACAAAGUCAUACUAAUUAAGGCCUUUGAGGGGGAUGGAGGGUGGGGGUUAGUUUUUGGUGUAGGUGUUAUAUCAAAGUUAAUCAGAUCUUUUUAGUAGGGUGGAGCUACGAUGAUGGCAGAGGCUGUGUCUCUCUAACUGGCGGACCAUCCCAAGAAGGUGUCAUUAUUUGUAGGGCUCAUUGAUGUCCACAGUCUCGAAAUUACGAGCUGGUGAGCACUUUUAACAUUAAAUUAAUCCAUGCAUGUUAACAACUUGUCCUAAUAUUACCGAGACUAAAAACCAAUCAACCGUAACAGUUCGUUUUUCUUGUCAUCCGCUUUUAUUCUACUUUAUUUGAACAACCAUUAUAUCAUUAAAAUAAAUAAAUAAUAUUCAAUUCCUAACCAGUCAAAUGAAAGAAAUGAACCAACUCCCAUUAUGACAAUCAAUCGGUGAAUACUUUUGCAUAUUGUAAUUACCAAGAGAAUUGUUGCACAAACACAUGUAUGUAUGGGAUUAUUGGGUUGAUUACCACUAACUAAUUAAUCAUUCUCAAUUAUAUCUUUGGCCUUCUUUGUCUUUUCCCUUGCAUUUUUAGCAGACAUCAAAUUGAAGACAACACAAAACUAGAAACACAACAAGAUAGUGUAGUUAGGUAGCUAAUUUGGAUUCAAGUGUGACCUCAUUAUACAUGUUUCCAUUAUUUAAAAUAAUUAAUUAAAUGUUUUUUUAUCAUGUAUAUCUAAUUUAUUAAUUAAUGUUUUGUUCGUUAUUUAAACAAUCACUCACGUGUACAUAAAACUUAAAGUCAUUAAACC